RNAcentral lists this ribosomal RNA (484 nucleotides) under uncultured bacterium. Its description in RNAcentral is "partial 16S ribosomal RNA". It matches the Rfam family "Bacterial small subunit ribosomal RNA", at positions 28 to 523 of the family's 1533-position model. The record is from RNAcentral.
GACGAACGCUGGCGGCGUGCUUAACACAUGCAAGUCGAACGAUGAAGCUAGAGCUUGCUCUGGUGGAUUAGUGGCGAACGGGUGAGUAGCACGUGAGUAACCUGCCCCGAACUCUGGGAUAACUGCUGGAAACGGUAGCUAAUACCGGAUAUGACCAAUGAAGGCAUCUUCUGUUGGUGGAAAGAAUUUCGGUUCGGGAUGGAUUCGCGGCCUAUCAGCUUGUUGGUGAGGUAACGGCUCACCAAGGCGACGACGGGUAGCCGGCCUGAGAGGGUGAUCGGCCACACUGGGACUGAGACACGGCCCAGACUCCUACGGGAGGCAGCAGUGGGGAAUAUUGCACAAUGGGCGCAAGCCUGAUGCAGCAACGCCGCGUGAGGGACGACGGCCUUCGGGUUGUAAACCUCUUUUAGUAGGGAAGAAGCGAAAGUGACGGUACCUGCAGAAAAAGCACCGGCUAACUACGUGCCAGCCGCCGCCGUAA